CAAGUUCCCGUCUCGGUAUCUAAAUCGGAGAUUUUUAUCCGAGACUUGCUUAAAUUGGUACUACACGUGCGUUCCCGUCACUACGGAAAAUGAUGAACUCUCCGGGUUGUUCGGUGAUCUACGAUGUUCAGCGAGGAAUCGCACCUAUUCAUCACGGUGGACCGGUCGCCGUCCUUCAGGUGGCUAGCAACCCUAGACGAAGUACCUACCGCGGACCUUCUUCGAGUUACUGGUCUGGUAGCAGGAGAGGUUCUCCUCCGAUGCCGAUCGAGUGGUGUCGAGCGAGGAGGGACAAAGAAGAAGCUACUGACAGAUAUAUUUGUGUUUUAAAUGAAGUACACCACACGGGUAUAUCACACCUACUGAUUAACUAUAGCAGUCUUCAAGUAAUAGUAACUGUACGUUAAUUACAUAAAAGUGUUCUAUGAGAGAACCAAUUGACGCUUAUCGUAAUCGACGGUUGACGAUCGCGAUCCAACACC
RNAcentral lists this ribosomal RNA (482 nucleotides) under Triticum aestivum (bread wheat). Its description in RNAcentral is "partial small subunit ribosomal RNA". The record is from RNAcentral. Lineage: Eukaryota; Viridiplantae; Streptophyta; Magnoliopsida; Poales; Poaceae.